GUCAGGAUGGCCGAGCGGUCCAAGGCGCUGCGUUCAGGUCGCAGUCCGGUCUUCCGGGCGUGGGUUCGAAUCCCACCCCUGACA
This 84-nucleotide transfer RNA is filed under the name Varroa jacobsoni. RNAcentral's name for it is "tRNA-Leu". It matches the Rfam family "tRNA". From Rfam's summary of the family: Transfer RNA (tRNA) molecules are approximately 80 nucleotides in length. RNAcentral also lists the same sequence under 1 other name. Lineage: Eukaryota; Metazoa; Arthropoda; Arachnida; Mesostigmata; Varroidae. The record is from RNAcentral.